Molecule: small nucleolar RNA, 134 nt
Organism: Echinops telfairi (small Madagascar hedgehog)
Lineage: Eukaryota; Metazoa; Chordata; Mammalia; Afrosoricida; Tenrecidae
Source: Ensembl
UGCCUCCUUGUGCUUACCACAGGCUGUGCUCUUGCACUGACUGUAUAGAAAAAGGAGGCAAAGUAAGUGCCCUGUAUACACCUCAACCCAAGCCCUGUCUGUGCCUGGUUUGUAUUGUGAAUGGGGCCACAUGG